This 256-nucleotide ribosomal RNA is filed under the name uncultured Pseudomonas sp. RNAcentral's name for it is "partial 16S ribosomal RNA". It matches the Rfam family "Bacterial small subunit ribosomal RNA", at positions 96 to 355 of the family's 1533-position model. The record is from RNAcentral. Lineage: Bacteria; Pseudomonadati; Pseudomonadota; Gammaproteobacteria; Pseudomonadales; Pseudomonadaceae.
CGGCGGACGGGUGAGUAAUGCCUAGGAAUCUGCCUGGUAUGGGGGACAACGUUUCGAAAGGAACGCUAAUACCGCAUACGUCCUACGGGAGAAAGCAGGGGACCUUCGGGCCUUGCGCUAUCAGAUGAGCCUAGGUCGGAUUAGCUAGUUGGUGAGGUAAUGGCUCACCAAGGCGACGAUCCGUAACUGGUCUGAGAGGAUGAUCAGUCACACUGGAACUGAGACACGGUCCAGACUCCUACGGGAGGCAGCAGCU